RNAcentral lists this ribosomal RNA (1644 nucleotides) under human gut metagenome. RNAcentral's name for it is "bacterial LSU rRNA". It matches the Rfam family "Bacterial large subunit ribosomal RNA", at positions 514 to 2155 of the family's 2925-position model. The record is from RNAcentral.
GUGAAAAGCACUUCGAACAGAAGAGUGAAAUAGUCCCUGAACCCAUACGCCUACAAGCUGUCGGAGCCGCUUCGUGCGGUGACGGCGUGCCUUUUGCAUAAUGAGCCUACGAGUUACUCAUCACCAGCGAGGUUAAGUACUUCAGGUACGUAAGCCGAAGCGAAAGCGAGUCUGAAUAGGGCGUCAAGUUGGUGGUGGUAGACGCGAAACCUUAGUGAUCUACCCAUGGGCAGGGUGAAGGUUUGGUAACACAAACUGGAGGCCCGAACCGGUAAACGUUGAAAAGUUUUCGGAUGACCUGUGGGUAGGGGUGAAAGGCCAAUCAAACUGGGAAAUAGCUCGUACUCUCCGAAAUGCAUUUAGGUGCAGCCUCUGUUGUUUUGUUCUAGAGGUAGAGCUACUGAUUGGAUGCGAGGGCUUCACCGCCUAUCAAAUCCGGCCAAACUCCGAAUGCUAGAACAUGAAGACAGGGAGUGAGCCAGCGGGUGCUAAGGUCCGUUGACGAAAGAGGGAGAACUCAGACCAUCAGCUAAGGUCCCCAAUUAUAUGCUAAGUUGGAAUUAAAACGGGGUGGGACUGCUUAGACAGCUAGGAUGUUGGCUUGGAAGCAGCCAUUCAUUUAAAGAGUGCGUAACAGCUCACUAGUCGAGCGGUCCUGCAUGGAUAAUACGCGGGCAUAAGCAUAUAACCGAAGCUAUGGGAUUGUAGAUGAUACAAUCGGUAGGAGAGCAUUCCAUUCAGCGUAGAAGCAGUAUCGUGAGGUAUUGUGGAGCGGAUGGAAAAGCAAAUGUAGGCAUAAGUAACGAUAAUGCGGGUGAGAACCCCGCACGCCGAAAGAUCAAGGAUUCCCCGGCAAUGUCAAUCAUCCGGGGGUAAGUCGGAUCCUAAGGGUAAGCCGAGUGGCGAUCCCGAUGGUAAACAGGUUAAUAUUCCUGUACUGAUCAUAACUGCGAUGCAGCGACGCAGAGGUGACACUGCUGCGUACUGACGGAAUAGUACGUUGAAACCCGUAUUCUUUGAUACCGGUAGUGAAGCACGCCGGUAGAGAUGAAAGGUGAUAGUACCGCAAUGCUUCGGUUGCGCGGAUAAUGCAGGUAAGCUGACUGCCAAGAAAACCUGCUAAGCUUCAGGUAAUGAUCAUCCGUACUGUAAACGGACACACGUGAUCAGGUAGAAAAUACUAAGGCGCUGAGAGAUUCAUGGUUAAGGAACUAGGCAAAAUGGUCCUGUAACUUCGGGAUAAAGGACGCUCUUGUGAAAGAGCCGCAGAUAAUAGGCCCAGGCGACUGUUUACCAAAAACACAUGGCUAUGCUAAUUCGCAAGAAGAUGUAUAUGGCCUGACACCUGCCCGGUGCCGGAAGGUUAAGAGGAGAGCUCAGAGGCAACUCGAAGGUUUGAAUUGAAGCCCCGGUAAACGGCGGCCGUAACUAUAACGGUCCUAAGGUAGCGAAAUUCCUUGUCGGGUAAGUUCCGACCUGCACGAAUGGUGUAACGAUCUGGGUACUGUCUCAACCAUGAGCUCGGUGAAAUUGUAGUUCCGGUGAAGAUGCCGGAUACCCGCAACGGGACGGAAAGACCCCGUGAACCUUUACUGCAGCUUUGCAUUGAUUUUGGGUAACAGAUGUGUAGGAUAGGUCGGAGGC